GGAAAUACUUCCAGGCCUUAGAAAGGACAUCCUUUGGACACAUGUAAAAAGCUAUCUUGUUCGCCUGUUAUUCCCACUGACCCGUCUGAGUGAUCACCCAGGAGCGCGGUGGCAGCAAGCUGAGCUCACCGGAUUUGGGACAAGGAUUUUAAAGGCAGCUACAAAGCGGAGCUCUAUUUGCUGAUGAUAGUCUCUGUUCAGCUCUUUAAAAUGACAUGUGACUCACCAUGGUAAUUUUUCUCAAAUUAAAGACACAUUUUGGGUUGUGCAA
This 271-nucleotide non-coding RNA is filed under the name Pongo abelii (Sumatran orangutan). Lineage: Eukaryota; Metazoa; Chordata; Mammalia; Primates; Hominidae. The record is from RNAcentral.